CUAGCCCAAGACACCAAGCUAUGCCACACCCACACGGGCCCUCAGCAGUGAUAAACAUUAAGCAAUAAGCGAACACAAACUUCAAAGCUUGACUUAGUUAUGGUUAACAGGGCCGGUAAACCUCGUGCCAGCCACCGCGGUUAUACGAGGGGCCCGAAGCAGCAGACCUCGGCGUAAAUAGUGACUAGAAUCAUUACCUACACAUUAAAAACUAAACUCUAGCCUAACCGUAAAACACAGGCUAGAUGAAACCAAACAUUUUUAACAACAGGUAAUUUGACCCACGAAAACUAAGAAACAAACUAGGAUUAGAUACCCUACUAUGCUUAGUCGUUAAUAUGAUAUUAUACCACUAAAAUAUCCGCCAGAAAACUACGAGCGAAAAGCUUAAAACUCAAAGGACUUGGCGGUGCUCCAUACCGACUUAGAGGAGCCUGUCCUAUAAUCGAUACCCCACGUUAAACCUCACCAAUCUUUGCCAAAUCAGCCUAUAUACCGCCGUCGACAGCCUACCUCGUGAGAGAAAAACAGUAAGUAUAAAAGUUCAACAACUAAAACGUCAGGUCAAGGUGUAGCUAAUAGAAUGGAAGAGAUGGGCUACAUUUUUUAAGAUAAAACACACGGCAUGGCACUAUGAAACUUCUACCUGAAGGAGGAUUUAAUAGUAAAACUAACAAGAAAGUUAAUUUUAAAU
RNAcentral lists this ribosomal RNA (694 nucleotides) under Sceloporus horridus. RNAcentral's name for it is "partial 12S ribosomal RNA". It matches the Rfam family "Bacterial small subunit ribosomal RNA", at positions 378 to 1368 of the family's 1533-position model. Lineage: Eukaryota; Metazoa; Chordata; Lepidosauria; Squamata; Phrynosomatidae. The record is from RNAcentral.